ACAAUAAAGUAGCCUAAACCAUGAUUAAUAAUACGAAGUAGCAGAUAAUAUCAAUAAAAUGCAGAAGUACAACCCAAUACAGCUCUAACCGGGGUGUCACAAGUCACGAGUAUCUAACAACACUAAGUCCUCAAAUGUAACUACAAAGUUUAAAUACUAAACUAAGGACAUAAAGGAAAGAGAUAGGGAGGAGCUCUAGGCUGCGGACGCCAACAGCUACCUAAAGACUCCUCGAAGAUCAUCCUGAAGCUGGAAUGAAUCAGCACUCGCGAGCGGGACCAGCUAUGCCUGAAUCUACACACGGGGUGCAGGGAGUAAAGUGAGUACUCCAACUCAAUGUGUAACAAAUGUAAAUAAUGACUGAAAGUAAGAAAACAUGUAAGGCACAAGGCAUUCUUAAUGAAGCAGUAAAACCAUUUAAAAGUAGUAAAACAGUGAAAAGUCAAGUAAAAUCCUCUUUCAACAAGUAAACAAGUAAUUAACAGGUACUUAAGGUAAAGUAAAUAAAUAGAAGUUCGCCCCUCGGGCACAAUAUCACCACAUCCGCCCCUCAGGCAACAUCUCAGAACAAUAACAACCCCUCAGUCUCAAUCUCACAUCACAAUGGGUACCCGCGCUCAUUGGGGGUGUGCAGGCUCAUGGAGGGGCCCCUUACGGACCAAGCGCAAUAACAAGCCAUCUCGUGGCAUCAAAUCUAGGCCCUCGGCCUCAUAUCAAUCAAUCCACUCAUGGCUUAUAUAUCCGAGGGCCUCAAAUCAGUAUCAGUGUUUCCUCACAACUAGGCCCUCAGCCUUACUCAGUCAAAAAUACUCACAAGCCCCUUGGGCAAUAGUAAAACAGUAUUUCUCAGCCCAAACAUCAUUUAAAAUAUCAUUGAAGUCUUAAAACUGAGUAAACAUGGCUGAGUAGUAAAAUGGUGGAAAAUAACAUGACUGCGUUCAAGUAAUGAAUCAAAACAGUGAGGAAUUUGUAAUAAAAAUCCCCGAAGGGUUCAAAUAGUUGGCACGAAGCCCAAAUAUGGCAUUUAGCCCAAAUCAUGAUGAUAGAAAAUAAGAUUCAGUCAAACACGCAGUUUAUCAUCAACCGGGACAGACCAAGUCACAAUUCCCAAUAGUACACGACCCCACGCUCGUCAUCAAGCGUGUGUUUCACCUCAAUAUAGCACUACGAUGUGCAAUCCGGGGUUUCAAACCCUUAGGACAUCAUUUACAAUCAUUACUCACCUCGAACCGGCUAAAUAUCUAGCUCGCGACGCCUUUGCCCCUAGAAUCGGCCUCCACACGCAUCAAAUCUAUCAAAAAUCAGAACGAGGACGUCAAAAUAUGCUAAGGGAACAAAGCCCAAGCAAAAACAGUCAAUAAAGAGCACAAAUCCUGAAAUUACCAAAACCUGAC
This 1394-nucleotide long non-coding RNA is filed under the name Nicotiana tabacum (common tobacco). RNAcentral's name for it is "long non-coding RNA (NTAB_LNC012760)". Lineage: Eukaryota; Viridiplantae; Streptophyta; Magnoliopsida; Solanales; Solanaceae. The record is from RNAcentral.